UUGGUUCAGGUAUCUUGAUUUUCAAAGAUUUUUGCCAUUAUGAUAUCACCAUCCAAAUAAAAUGAAACCAGAUAAGAGUAUAAGACUAGGAUACAAUAGAAAUUUUAAGUUACAUUUAUUCCUAUGAUAAAAGAUCAUAAUAAAGAGAAAAAUGAAGAUAAUUCGGAUGGAUUCGUUGUCGAAAAAAUCCUUAUAUAGUACAAUACCAUAUAUUAAUUAUGUUAUAAGAUGAUAACUACCUACUCU
RNAcentral lists this long non-coding RNA (246 nucleotides) under Elaeis guineensis (African oil palm). RNAcentral describes it as "long non-coding RNA (EGUI_LNC009073)". The record is from RNAcentral. Lineage: Eukaryota; Viridiplantae; Streptophyta; Magnoliopsida; Arecales; Arecaceae.